UAAAACACUCUCUAACCUUCACAUUUUGCAAGUUUAGGCAGAUUCAUCCAAGCUCAAAACAGUGAGUUUUGAGCUUGUUUAUGCAACUUUUCUUCUUGUUUUUCCUUCCUUGGAUAACCUUUAAGAGUGUUACCAUAUGUUUACCAAGGAAAUAUUUAAUGAUGAUUCUUUAAGAAAUCUACUUCGGGUAGGUUAGAAAGUCACCAAACUUUAUUUAUGUAUUUUGUUGCUUAGUAUGAAAUUCCCACUUGU
This 252-nucleotide long non-coding RNA is filed under the name Helianthus annuus (common sunflower). RNAcentral's name for it is "sRNA HanXRQr2_Chr08g0328161". The record is from RNAcentral. Lineage: Eukaryota; Viridiplantae; Streptophyta; Magnoliopsida; Asterales; Asteraceae.